GAUGAACGCUGGCGGCGUGCCUAAUACAUGCAAGUCGAGCGAACAGACGAGGAGCUUGCUCCUCUGACGUUAGCGGCGGACGGGUGAGUAACAAGUGGAUAACCUACCUAUAAGACUGGGAUAACUUCGGGAAACCGGAGCUAAUACCGGAUAAUAUAUUGAACCGCAUGGUUCAAUAGUGAAAGACGGUUUUGCUGUCACUUAUAGAUGGAUCCGCGCCGCAUUAGCUAGUUGGUAAGGUAACGGCUUACCAAGGCGACGAUGCGUAGCCGACCUGAGAGGGUGAUCGGCCACACUGGAACUGAGACACGGUCCAGACGCCUACGGGAGGCAGCAGUAGGGAAUCUUCCGCAAUGGGCGAAAGCCUGACGGAGCAACGCCGCGUGAGUGAUGAAGGUCUUCGGAUCGUAAAACUCUGUUAUUAGGGAAGAACAAAUGUGUAAGUAACUAUGCACGUCUUGACGGUACCUAAUCAGAAAGCCACGGCUAACUACGUG
RNAcentral lists this ribosomal RNA (497 nucleotides) under uncultured bacterium. RNAcentral's name for it is "partial 16S ribosomal RNA". It matches the Rfam family "Bacterial small subunit ribosomal RNA", at positions 28 to 507 of the family's 1533-position model. The record is from RNAcentral.